GAUGAACGCUGGCGGCGUGCCUAAUACAUGCAAGUCGAGCGAACGGACGAGAAGCUUGCUUCUCUGAUGUUAGCGGCGGACGGGUGAGUAACACGUGGAUAACCUACCUAUAAGACUGGGAUAACUUCGGGAAACCGGAGCUAAUACCGGAUGAUAUUUUGAACCGCAUGGUUCAAAAGUGAAAGACGGUCUUGCUGUCACUUAUAGAUGUAUCCGCGCUGCAUUAGCUAGUUGGUAAGGUAACGGCUUACCAAGGCAACGAUGCAUAGCCGACCUGAGAGGGUGAUCGGCCACACUGGAACUGAGACACGGUCCAGACUCCUACGGGAGGCAGCAGUAGGGAAUCUUCCGCAAUGGGCGAAAGCCUGACGGAGCAACGCCACGUGAGUGAUGAAGGUCUUCGGAUCGUAAAACUCUGUUAUUAGGGAAGAACAUAUGUGUAAGUAACUGUGCACAUCUUGACGGUACCUAAUCAGAAAGCCACGGCUAACUACGUG
RNAcentral lists this ribosomal RNA (497 nucleotides) under uncultured bacterium. Its description in RNAcentral is "partial 16S ribosomal RNA". It matches the Rfam family "Bacterial small subunit ribosomal RNA", at positions 28 to 507 of the family's 1533-position model. The record is from RNAcentral.